GGAGAUGUAGCUUAGAUGGUAGAGCGCUUGCUUAGCAUGCGAGAGGUAUGGGGAUCAAUACCCAACAUCUCCA
Molecule: transfer RNA, 73 nt
Organism: Ipomoea nil (Japanese morning glory)
Lineage: Eukaryota; Viridiplantae; Streptophyta; Magnoliopsida; Solanales; Convolvulaceae
Rfam family: tRNA
About the family: Transfer RNA (tRNA) molecules are approximately 80 nucleotides in length. Their secondary structure includes four short double-helical elements and three loops (D, anti-codon, and T loops).
Source: Rfam